CCUACGGGAGGCUGCAGUGGGGAAUAUUGGACAAUGGGCGAAAGCCGGAUCCAGCCAUGCCGCGUGUGUGAAGAAGGCCUUCGGGUUGUAAAGCACUUUCAGUGGGGAAGAAAGCCUUGGGGCUAAUACCCUCGAGGAAGGACAUCACCCACAGAAGAAGCACCGGCUAACUCCGUGCCAGCAGCCGCGGUAAUACGGAGGGUGCGAGCGUUAAUCGGAAUUACUGGGCGUAAAGCGCGCGUAGGCGGUCUGAUAAGCCGGUUGUGAAAGCCCCGGGCUCAACCUGGGAACGGCAUCCGGAACUGUCAGGCUAGAGUGCAGGAGAGGAAGGUAGAAUUCCCGGUGUAGCGGUGAAAUGCGUAGAGAUCGGGAGGAAUACCAGUGGCGAAGGCGGCCUUCUGGACUGACACUGACGCUGAGGUGCGAAAGCGUGGGUAGCAAACAGGAUUAGAUACCCCGGUAGUC
RNAcentral lists this ribosomal RNA (465 nucleotides) under Vreelandella stevensii. Its description in RNAcentral is "partial 16S ribosomal RNA". It matches the Rfam family "Bacterial small subunit ribosomal RNA", at positions 338 to 795 of the family's 1533-position model. Lineage: Bacteria; Pseudomonadati; Pseudomonadota; Gammaproteobacteria; Oceanospirillales; Halomonadaceae. The record is from RNAcentral.